Molecule: ribosomal RNA, 492 nt
Filed under: uncultured bacterium
Lineage: Bacteria
Description: partial 16S ribosomal RNA
Rfam family: Bacterial small subunit ribosomal RNA
Source: RNAcentral
AGUGAACGCUGGCGGCAGGCCUAACACAUGCAAGUCGAACGGCAGCACAGUAAGAGCUUGCUCUUACGGGUGGCGAGUGGCGGACGGGUGAGGAAUACAUCGGAAUCUACUUUUUCGUGGGGGAAAACGUAGGGAAACUUACGCUAAUACCGCAUACGACCUACGGGUGAAAGCAGGGGAUCUUCGGACCUUGCGCGAGUGAAUGAGCCGAUGUCGGAUUAGCUAGGUGGCGGGGUAAAGGCCCACCAAGGCGACGAUCCGUAGCUGGUCUGAGAGGAUGAUCAGCCGCACUGGAACUGAGACACGGUCCAGACUCCUACGGGAGGCAGCAGUGGGGAAUAUUGGACAAUGGGCGCAAGCCUGAUCCAGCCAUGCCGCGUGGGUGAAGAAGGCCUUCGGGUUGUAAAGCCCUUUUGUUGGGAAAGAAAAGCAGCAGGUUAAUACCCCGCUGUUCUGACGUUACCCAAAGAAUAAGCACCGGCUAACUUCGUG